UGGCCCUACAGUGAGCUGAAACAGCUGAGGUCACAGAUACAGACCAAGUGCACGACACUGCGCGUGUGCUGACUGUAAAUGAGCAGGGGCCGAGAGGAGCCCAGAGACGCCGGGCAGGACUCUUAUCCUGCUAAUCAGCCCAGAGCACGUGGGACGGAGGCUCCAGCUCCACGCAGACGCGAGCGCUUCCUGACAGCUACCUCUCACUCAGUCUCCCCCCUGCUUUUUUUGUUUUUUUUGGUUGCCUUGCAGAGCACGUAGCGAGGAAACACCAGCGGUGUGCGUGGGCUUAACAUAGUUUCCACUGAAAAAAAAGGUGAAUUGCGGGAGGAGAGGGACGGCUCUGAAAAGCCGUUCUUCGCAGGAUGCUCGCUCGUUUGCUGGCACUCACGCUGCGAAGUAGUAGCAAAGAAAAAAAACAAAACAACCCAGCACAAUUAACACGAGGAUCAAAUAACAAACUCCAUUCUAACCCACAGCAAACUGCUCCAUGUACAAUCCUUUGUUCCACAGUCCCUUGAAAUCUCAUGUCAAGUGGCAAACGCAUUUACAUUCCAUUUAACUGUAAGUGGAGAUAAUUGUGCAAAUGGGUGCAAUUUUGAGCGUCUGAUAGGGAGCGUGGCACAGUGUGUGUGCGUGUGUGCGCGCGCGCAAGAGUGCGCGUGCGUGCGCGCCCCGUUAAUGGUGUUUAUUUGACUUUGGGGGAAGCCCUGUGCCCAUUGUUCCCAGACCCCCAUAUAUGGUAAUGUAAACACGGCGCUUCGUAAGCUCUCUGGAGCGUGCGCACUAAAAUGAAUGAGCACAGGAAGACCCGCUCCGGCAGGAAGUGGCAGCCGCUGCCAUGGCAACCAACUGAAACCCGAGGCAGCGAGGGAGAGAGCCUCGCGCCUCUCGCUCGCUGUCUUGACGUCAUUUCUAGUACGGCGCGACUGAGCGGCAGCAGCUGCGGCUCACACGCGGGACAAACAAAGAAGUUUCAUCAGAAAAGCCACGCGAGAGGGACGAGGCAAAUAUUUUGUCUGCGUUUCAAGACCCGUGCGUCAAAGCUAAGUAGUAAGAGCACGUCAAUAAAAGGAGGACGGCUGAAUAUGCAGAUUAGCGGCACGGCUGCAAAGCGUCUUUAAACGCCUUUCUAGAAAUGGAUUCAGUGUUUGUGACUCGUCAGAAGCAGCGGGUUCAGGCCUCAGGCGGUGAAUAAAUACAGCAGCACGCAGCGGUGGGGUCAGUGCUGAUGAAGGUGCAAAAACAUGGGAAACGGAGGACGAGAGAUAAGGAGGGCCAGAAGCGACCCUGACACGCUGUUUACUUUACAUCAGGCCUCCACUGGACUCCACCAAGGGUGAACCACUUGUCCAUGGUGGGAUGAGUGGAACGUCUAGAAGCCUUUUGCAAGGAUGCAUGGAACACUCUCUGGCUCCUCUGGCAGGAAACACGAAGCCGUUCUGCUUUGUGACUCACGGCGUGACCUUCAGCCAAGCCCUCGUCACAUGGCAGUUUUAAAAGCAGCCAGGGGGAAAUUCAAAUGCUCCAGGAAUACAAUGGUUUAUGAUACUGCACGCACCGACUGCAGGGUACGGAUGAAGAAAAUAGCAGCUACGCAGACGUCACUGAGCCACUUUUAAAUGAGACAUUCUCAAAAAAGACACCAGGAAACACAUGGCGGCAGCUUCCAGAGGAAGUCAAGAGUCAAAAAAACCACUUUGUGUAUAUAUUUAGCACUGGAAUGUAUUAGACUGAACAUGUGUUUUCCCCGUGUCUGUGUCUCUCUGUCACUCUGGUAAUGUGUUCUGCUGUGUAGCUUAGUCAGAUGCCAUUGUCUGCUCGACAACACAAAACCCCAGUGUUCUGAUGCAGCCUCGUUUCUGUUUUCUUUCCCACGUAUGAAACUUUGUUGCCGAAGAAAAAUAAAAAAAUAUAUAUUUGGUACGUUCUCGAAUUGGAUGCAAGUAAAUCAGAGAGCAAGCUUCUCUCCUACCGGCUACCAAACACUGCAUCAACAUCUCAUCAGCGUAAAACGGUUCCUACUGCAGGCGGCUCACACGUGUUCAGCUCAGAUAAACUUGGUGAAACACGGGAUUUCUUUUAUCGACUGCAGAUUCAAUAUGAGGCAAAAAUAACUUCUGACUAAUUUCUUGCUAUUCACUUAAUGUCAUUACUCCUAAAGAGCUAGUAAUUUGUUUCUGUUGUUGAAAAUGUACUUCUAUAAUGCCCCUGACUGUGACAAUUCAGUGCUCACCCAGCCGCCAAUAAAAUCUGGAUAUACACAAAAACUCAAGUGAUAAUAACGUUUAAAUUAAUUAUUAUUAUUGCGUUUAAAUGUCGAAACAUGAAAGUUCAAAUCAGAGUUCAUUCUCGUGGAAUGCCUUUAAUUAUUCCCAUCCUGUGUCUAGUUGACGUGUCAUUCCUGAGCCCGCAGGACCCGCAUGAUAAAAAAGUGUGGUUCCUUUCAAUGAGAGCGCUGUCUCUGAAAAUGACCGUGCAUCAGUUCACCUUCAUUCUGUUUCAGAGUCCACUGAAAACAGAUCAGCAGAAAACCUUCAACUGUGUCAUGGUGGAUAAACGUCGACUGAGUGACGACUGACUUGGUUUUUUUUUUGGACUUGACUGUGUUGGACGCAUGCUUCCUUCCCUUCCUUCCUUCCUUCCUUCCUUCCUUCCUUCCUUCCUUCCUUCCUUCCUUCCUUCCUUCCUUCCUUCCUUCCUUCCUUCCGUC
Molecule: long non-coding RNA, 2713 nt
Organism: Betta splendens (Siamese fighting fish)
Lineage: Eukaryota; Metazoa; Chordata; Actinopteri; Anabantiformes; Osphronemidae
Exons: 3
Source: RefSeq, a predicted model, not a curated record